CCCACUGCAGCAAAUAUUUUCACCGAUCAAACAAUAAUCUUCUUGACUUGUCCCCAAUAGGAUACAACAGUCUUCUGAAAGAACAACUCAACAACUCUAAACAAGAGUUGAGUUUAAAGCUCCAUAAAAAGAACACCUUCCUUCAACUAAUAAACUCUCUUUUUUACUAACUUUUGUGAAUUCUCUAUUGUUUUGUGUGUACUCAAAUAAUAUGCAAGACCACCUCUAUUUAUAGGUAAGAAAUCUUUCAUGCA
This 254-nucleotide long non-coding RNA is filed under the name Capsicum annuum. RNAcentral's name for it is "long non-coding RNA (CANN_LNC021360)". The record is from RNAcentral. Lineage: Eukaryota; Viridiplantae; Streptophyta; Magnoliopsida; Solanales; Solanaceae.